Molecule: non-coding RNA, 66 nt
Filed under: marine eukaryotic metagenome
Description: SAM riboswitch (alpha-proteobacteria)
Rfam family: Alpha-proteobacteria SAM riboswitch aptamer (bases 5-61)
About the family: This family is a riboswitch found predominantly in alpha-proteobacteria that binds S-adenosyl methionine (SAM). This SAM riboswitch is located upstream of the metA and metC genes in Agrobacterium tumefaciens, and other methionine and SAM biosynthesis genes in other alpha-proteobacteria. Like the other SAM riboswitch, it probably functions to turn off expression of these genes in response to elevated SAM levels.
Source: RNAcentral
CAACCGUGGCGAUUUGAGCUGACCGGCUUGCGGCCACGUAAAACAUACCGCUAAAAGGUCGCAGCC